AUUGUUGAACGUUUGCAUUUAAUGGCAUUGUUAAACAAUAUUUUUAAGAAGAGAAAUGUAUAAUCUUCUUUCAAUUAUUUUUAUAAAUUUCCUUGUUUUCUUUAAUCAAAAAAUAUACUGUGAAAAUGUUUUUUUUCCAAAUUUGCCAAUUGGAGAAUACCAUAUAAAAUUUAAAGCAGGUUUUAAAUGCAAUUCUAGUAUUCAUUAUAAAAUUGACUUAAACCUUCACCAAAGUAAGAUUGCCAGUUCAAAAACAGUGAUUACUGGAAAUAUGAGCUUUCAUAUUCCGUUAGAUGAUUCAUUAAUUGUAGACGUUAACGUGGCCGUUUUAGAUAAAAUAGGAGGUUGGAAAGACAACGCAUAUGUCUUUCAAAUUUUAAAUGCUUGUUCAGCAGGAUUAUCUAUUCUUGGGCCUGCUGCUUACAAGACUCUAUUCAAAAGUUUCAAUGCAACUGAUGAUUCUUGCCCUAUAAAAGCGCCAAUGAAUCAACUGGAAAAUGGAUAUGCGCAUUUUCCUCACAAUCACGCGGGACAUUCAAUUGUACAAGCUAUUCACUCGUGAACUUCGUGUUCUCAGGAAUUAAAAAAUGCAUUAUUACUUGUUUAACUUCAAUAAUAAUUUCACAACGGUCAACUUCCAAGAAAUAAAUAAAGCAAUAGCAAGUUCAUCGUUCAUUAAUUGUUAAAACUUUAAAUACUUAAGGUUUUAUUUUAUCAUUUUCUUGUAUGAAAUCAUUAUGACAAUUGGUAUGUUAUCCUGUAAUUCUACAUCGCCUUACUACUCUAUAUCUUCUAGUGGUAAGAAU
Molecule: RNA transcript, 806 nt
Organism: Daktulosphaira vitifoliae (grape phylloxera)
Lineage: Eukaryota; Metazoa; Arthropoda; Insecta; Hemiptera; Phylloxeridae
Exons: 6
Source: RefSeq, a predicted model, not a curated record